UUAUUGUGAAAAAGAACAAGAAUAGCACCGCUUCCUGGUGACGUAAACACAGAACCAUGAAGGUACAAUUAUAAGCACUUAGUUUACAAUCGAUUUCUACAUAGCUACACCCGAAAGACAUCGGCGAAAUGUUCAAAGGGGGGGAACGUGGCUGGGUAUAGAGAACACAUUCGACGACAGAGGAGAGCGAAGUGCUGACGUUGCUGUGGAGGAGAAAAUUGUUCAAGACCAAAAUGAAGUAAACAAACAACACGAACCUCCAGCAACAGAAGAACUGGGGCAGGAGGACGGAGACACCGUCCAACUCAUCUUCUCAGCAGCUAAAGGAUUCGGUGGCUUAAUAUUCAACUUUGCAGCAAUGCCACCAAGAAGAUCUCCAACUCUGUGGCAGAGACUGCACCACACCAUCAAGAAGAGCGUGGAAGAAGGGAACAUAGAUGGAAUUUUGACAAGACUAUUUUGGGGGAUUUCAAAAAAAGAACAGGACAAAUUUGUCCAAGAAAAGAAAAGCUAAGAAAUCAGACACAGCUGUACCACCAUGGGUUGGCUACAGUGAGGAAGAGACCAUGCAGCAACAGA
Long non-coding RNA from Salvelinus sp. IW2-2015, 579 nucleotides. RefSeq lists it as uncharacterized. Lineage: Eukaryota; Metazoa; Chordata; Actinopteri; Salmoniformes; Salmonidae. The record is from RefSeq and is a predicted model, not a curated record.